CAGGCGCGGCGGCGGCGGCGGUUACGCGGCGGGCAUGGCGGUGUGCGCUCGUCUCUGUGGGGUGGGCCCUUCGCGGGGGUGUCGGCGUCGCCAGCAGCGCCGGGACCCGGCCGAGACGGCGGCGGCCGACAGCGAGCCGGACACGGACCUGGAAGAGGAGCGCAUCGAGGCGGGCGCGGCGGAGCUGUGCAGUGAGUGGAGCGGCCGGAGCUCGAGCCCCUCGCCACCCCCGCGCUGCUCGCUGCUGGAGCUGCCUCCCGAGCUGCUGGUGGAGAUCUUCGCCUCGCUGCCCGGCACUGACCUGCCCAGCCUGGCCCAGGUCUGCACCAAGUUCUGUCGCAUCCUGCACAACGACACCAUCUGGAGACGGCGCUGCCGGGAGGAGUAUGGUGUUUGUGAAAACUUACGGAAGCUGGAGAUCACGGGUGUGUCUUGUCGAGAUGUCUAUGCGAAGCGUAUAAACCCUCGCGUGAAGUCGGGCCGUUUCAUGAAAAUUCUUCCCGAUUACGAGCACAUGGAGUACAGAGAUGUGUACACCUGCCUGCUCCACCGAUACAGACACAUCUUGGGAUUGUGGCAGCCAGAUAUCGGGCCCUAUGGAGGACUGCUGAAUGUGGUGGUGGAUGGCUUGUUUAUUAUUGGCUGGAUGUACCUGCCUCCCCAUGACCCUCAUGUGGAUGACCCAAUGCGAUUCAAGCCCUUGUUUAGAAUUCACCUGAUGGAGAGGAAGUCAGCCACGGUGGAGUGCAUGUACGGCCACAGAGGGCCCCACAACGGCCACAUUCAGAUUGUGAAGAAGGACGAGUUCUCCACCAAGUGCAACCAGACGGAGUACCACCGGAUGUCUGGCGGGAGACAGGAGGUGAGCCUGCGCUCCUGUCACCAGGAGCAGACGUCAUCAGCAUGCCGCCAACCAGAGGGCUCUCUCCCAUGGUUCAUCCUCACAUUGUUGGUGCAGAAAGAAUUCCGAACAUGGCUGAGGGAAGAAUGGGGGCGGACGCUGGAGGACAUUUUCCACGAGCACAUGCAAGAGCUCAUCCUGAUGAAGUUCAUCUACACCAGUCAGUAUGACAACUGCCUGACCUACCGCCGCAUCUACCUCCCGCCCAGCCACCCGGAUGAUCUCAUCAGGCCAGGCCUCUUUAAAGGCACCUACGGCAGCCACGGCCUAGAGAUUGUCAUGCUCAGCUUCCAUGGGAAGCAUGCCAGGGUCACGAAGAUCACGGGUGACCCCAACAUCCCCGCCGGGCAGCAGACAGUAGAGAUCGACCUCAUGCACCGCAUCCAGCUGCCCAACGUCGAGAACCUCUGCAACUUCAACGAGCUCUCCCGCAUCGUCCUGGAGGCUCAGGAGCAGGUGCGCCAGGAGCAGCAGCGGCAAGAAGACAGGACUGAGGACGGCGAGGGUUCCGGGCCACCCACUGAGGUCAGAGAGCCCGGGAAUGAAGGGGCCGCACCUUUGAAGGAGGAGCCUGUCCAGUUUGUUCUGCCUGUGGGUGUGAGCUCAAGGAACGAGAACUACCCCCGAACCUGCAGGAUGUGGUAAGGACAGGAGGUGGGCGAAGACCAGUUUUGGGGUAGGACCUGGCUCUGACAGGCCAGCGGUGGGGCUUGCUGCACCAGAAUGGGAGCCUCUGAUGGCUUGGUCCAAGCUCCAGCUCAUACCUGAACAGAUGGCGCUGUUUCCUGGGCUGUACAGUCAGCUAUCACAUCCCUUGGGGAGCCUCAGACUGGGGGUAUUAGAACUGCCAGGUGUGAAGACUCCUCCCAGAAUGCCUUGCAUCACAUAGUUACUAAGGUAAAAGGGAGACGAGGCAGGAUGUCAGGCAGCACUGAAGCAGACAGUGAGGAAGAGGACUCUCCCCCUGCCCACACCUCUCCAUGUAGAAAGUCUGCUUGGAGUUCGCCCGGAUGUCCUUGCAGUUUCUACGGCACAGGCCUCAUCGCUGGCCACGGCUUCACUAGCCCUGAGCGCACGCCCGGGGUCUUCAUCCUGUUUGACGAAGACCGCUUCGGGUUCAUCUGGCUGGAGCUGAAAUCCUUCAGCCUGUACAGCAGAG
Molecule: RNA transcript, 2060 nt
Organism: Myotis lucifugus (little brown bat)
Lineage: Eukaryota; Metazoa; Chordata; Mammalia; Chiroptera; Vespertilionidae
Gene: FBXO31
Gene name: F-box protein 31
Exons: 10
Source: RefSeq, a predicted model, not a curated record